RNAcentral lists this signal recognition particle RNA (297 nucleotides) under Aotus nancymaae (Ma's night monkey). Its description in RNAcentral is "Metazoan signal recognition particle RNA (ENSANAG00000004995.1)". It matches the Rfam family "Metazoan signal recognition particle RNA". From Rfam's summary of the family: The signal recognition particle (SRP) is a universally conserved ribonucleoprotein. It is involved in the co-translational targeting of proteins to membranes. Lineage: Eukaryota; Metazoa; Chordata; Mammalia; Primates; Aotidae. The record is from RNAcentral.
GCUGGGCAUGGUGGCACAUGCCUGUAGUCCCAGCUACUCGGGAGGCUGAAGCUGGAGGAUCGCUUGAGUCCAGGAGUUCUGAGCUGUAGUGCGCUAUGUCAAUUGGGCGUCCACACUAAGUUCGGCAUCAAUGUGGUGGCCUCCUUGGAGCGAGGGGCCACUAGGUUGCCUAAGGAGGGGUGAACUGGCCCAGGUCGGAAACAGAGCAGGGUAAAACCCCUGUGCUGAUCAGCAGUGGGAUCGCGCCUGUGAAUAGCCACUGUACUCCAGCCUGGGCAACAUAGCAAGACCCCUUCU